RNAcentral lists this ribosomal RNA (494 nucleotides) under uncultured bacterium. RNAcentral describes it as "partial 16S ribosomal RNA". It matches the Rfam family "Bacterial small subunit ribosomal RNA", at positions 28 to 507 of the family's 1533-position model. The record is from RNAcentral.
GACGAACGCUGGCGGCGUGCUUAACACAUGCAAGUCGAACGGAAAGGCCUGCUUUCUCUUGUGGAUUGCGGGUACUCGAGUGGCGAACGGGUGAGUAACACGUGAGUGAUCUGCCCCCAACUUGGGUAUAAGCCUGGGAAACUAGGUCUAAUUCCCGAUAGGACUGCAGGGUGGUGCCUUGGGUGGCAAACGAUCUUCUAGUGGUUGGGGAUGAGCUCGCGGCCUAUCAGCUUGUUGGGGGGGUAAUGUCCCACCAAGGCGGGGACGGGUAGCCAGACUGAGAGCGGGGACAGCGAAACUGGGACUGGGACACGGCCCCGACGGGAGGGGGAAGUAGGGGAGGGGCAGAAAGGGGCGAAAGCGUGACGCAGCAGCGGCGAGGGAGUGAGGAGGGUGAUGGGAUUGGGAUACUAAGCUCCUAGCGAAGAAGAGGAGGCUACCUGGUUGGACGGGUGGUGACGGUAGCGGAAGAGGAAGCACCGGCUAACUACGUG